AACUGAUGUUUCAUCUACUCAGGUUCAAAAUCUUUCGCAAGCCAAUAUAAGAAAGGGAAACUUAUAAGACAUAUAAUGACGACUAACGAACUAAAAUAGUUUGUGUUCCUAGCUAUAUAACAUGUCUGAAGUUUUCAUUUGAUAGUUGUACCAAAGUCUUUCAACUAAACUGAUGUUUGAUCCAUCCAUCCGUUCUCAGGAUUACAAG
RNAcentral lists this long non-coding RNA (208 nucleotides) under Solanum tuberosum (potato). RNAcentral describes it as "long non-coding RNA (STUB_LNC011333)". Lineage: Eukaryota; Viridiplantae; Streptophyta; Magnoliopsida; Solanales; Solanaceae. The record is from RNAcentral.